CUGGCGACCGGCGCACGGGUGAGUAACACGUAUCCAACCUGCCGAUGACUCGGGGAUAGCCUUUCGAAAGAAAGAUUAAUACCCGAUGGUAUAAUCAGACCGCAUGGUCUUGUUAUUAAAGAAUUUCGGUUAUCGAUGGGGAUGCGUUCCAUUAGGCAGUUGGUGAGGUAACGGCUCACCAAACCUUCGAUGGAUAGGGGUUCUGAGAGGAAGGUCCCCCACAUUGGAACUGAGACACGGUCCAA
Molecule: ribosomal RNA, 245 nt
Filed under: uncultured bacterium
Lineage: Bacteria
Description: partial 16S ribosomal RNA
Rfam family: Bacterial small subunit ribosomal RNA
Source: RNAcentral